AAUAGAUACCCGGGUAGUCCAUGCCGUAAACGUUGGGAACUAGAUGUGGGGACCAUUCCACGGUCUCCGUGUCGCAGCUAACGCAUUAAGUUCCCCGCCUGGGGAGUACGGCCGCAAGGCUAAAACUCAAAGGAAUUGACGGGGGCCCGCACAAGCGGCGGAGCAUGCGGAUUAAUUCGAUGCAACGCGAAGAACCUUACCAAGGCUUGACAUAUACCGGAAAAGGCUGGAAACAGUCUCCCCGCAAGGUCGGUAUACAGGUGGUGCAUGGUUGUCGUCAGCUCGUGUCGUGAGAUGUUGGGUUAAGUCCCGCAACGAGCGCAACCCUCGUCGUAUGUUGCCAGCACGUAAUGGUGGGAACUCAUAUGAGACUGCCGGGGUCAACUCGGAGGAAGGUGGGGAUGAGGUCAAAUCAUCAUGCCCCUUAUGUCUUGGGUCUUCACGCAUGCUACAAUGGCCGGUACAAAGGGCUGCAAUACCGCGAGGUGGAGCGAAUCCCGAAAAGCCGGCUCAGUUCGGAUUGAGUCUGCAACUCG
Molecule: ribosomal RNA, 536 nt
Filed under: uncultured bacterium
Lineage: Bacteria
Description: bacterial SSU rRNA
Rfam family: Bacterial small subunit ribosomal RNA
Source: RNAcentral